RNAcentral lists this ribosomal RNA (301 nucleotides) under uncultured bacterium. Its description in RNAcentral is "partial 16S ribosomal RNA". It matches the Rfam family "Bacterial small subunit ribosomal RNA", at positions 509 to 807 of the family's 1533-position model. The record is from RNAcentral.
CAGUAGCCGCGGUAAAACGGAGGGUGCAAGCGUUAAUCGGAAUUACUGGGCGUAAAGCGUGCGUAGGCGGUUCGUUAAGUCUGUUGUGAAAGCCCCGGGCUCAACCUGGGAAUGGCAAUGGAUACUGGCGAGCUAGAGUGUGUCAGAGGAUGGUGGAAUUCCCGGUGUAGCGGUGAAAUGCGUAGAGAUCGGGAGGAACGUCAGUGGCGAAGGCGGCCAUCUGGGACAACACUGACGCUGAGGCACGAAAGCGUGGGGAGCAAACAGGAUUAGAUACCCCCGUAGUCCCUGUCUCUUAUAC